GGUAGUCCACGCCGUAAACGAUGAUAACUCGAUGUUGGCGAUAGACAGCCAGCGUCCCAGCGAAAGCGUUAAGUUAUCCACCUGGGGAGUACGCCCGCAAGGGUGAAACUCAAAGGAAUUGACGGGGGCCCGCACAAGCGGAGGAGCAUGUGGUUUAAUUCGAUGAUACGCGAGGAACCUUACCCGGGCUUGAAAGUUAGUGAAGGGUGCAGAGACGCACCCGUCCUUCGGGACACGAAACUAGGUGCUGCAUGGCUGUCGUCAGCUCGUGCCGUGAGGUGUUGGGUUAAGUCCCGCAACGAGCGCAACCCUCGACCUUAGUUGCCAUCAUUUAGUUGGGCACUUUAAGGUAACCGCCGGUGAUAAGCCGGAGGAAGGUGGGGAUGACGUCAAGUCCUCAUGGCCCUUACGCGCUGGGCUACACACGUGCUACAAUGGCGGUGACAGUGGGCAGCAAGCACGCGAGUGUGAGCUAAUCUCCAAAAGCCGUCUCAGUUCGGAUUGUUCUCUGCAACUCGAGAGCAUGAAGGCGGAAUCGCUAGUAAUCGCGGAUCAGCAUGCCGCGGUGAAUACGUUCCCAGGCCUUGUACACACCGCCCGUCACACCAUGGGAGUUGGAUUCACCCGAAGGCGUUGCGCUAACUCGCAAGAGAGGCAGGCGACCACGGUGGGUUUAGCGACUGGGGUGAAGUCGUAACAAGGUAACC
Molecule: ribosomal RNA, 707 nt
Filed under: uncultured bacterium
Lineage: Bacteria
Description: bacterial SSU rRNA
Rfam family: Bacterial small subunit ribosomal RNA
Source: RNAcentral